GAUCAUGGCUCAGGAUGAACGCUGGCGGCGUGCUUAACACAUGCAAGUCGAACGAGAAUCCGAUGACGGAGGCUUCGGCGGAAGUUAUUGGAGGAAAGUGGCGGACGGGUGAGUAACGCGUGAGCAACCUGCCUUUAAGAGGGGGAUAACAUUCCGAAAGGGAUGCUAAUACCGCAUAAAGCAGAGGGAAGGCAUCUUUCUUCUGCCAAAGAAUUAUCGCUUAGAGAUGGGCUCGCGU
RNAcentral lists this ribosomal RNA (238 nucleotides) under uncultured bacterium. RNAcentral's name for it is "partial 16S ribosomal RNA". It matches the Rfam family "Bacterial small subunit ribosomal RNA", at positions 15 to 236 of the family's 1533-position model. The record is from RNAcentral.